AAUUAAUAAAUUCGGCCCAAUUCUUAACCUAAAUAUACACACACAAUUACACACUCAAACACACACAUUCAGCCUCACCCUCUCAUCUCUCUCUCUCUCGGACUCCCUCUGUCCGCCUGCCGUUCAACGCGGCCGCCACCGCCGCCGCCGCCGCCGGCGAGCGGCGCGGCUGCUGCCUCUCGCUCCUCCCCUGAACUCUCGUCCUCUCUCACCCUCUCGCCUCUAUCUAUCUAUCUGCCGUACACAGGACGCACGCCGCUGUCAAAGCGGUGCGCCGCCGCCGGUGCCUCCGUCGUCCUCGCGGCAGAUCCGCUACCGCGUCAAGACCACGGCCACCGCCUUUCCUCCCCUCCCUCUAUCUCUCUCUCUCUCCCGUCUCAAUUCUUUCCCUGGAAACAGACGCACGGACACAGCCCCUGAUGUGCCGCCGCCUCCUUUCCUUCGCCGGUGGGCUCACGGCCAGGAGCCGUCGAUCGCCGACAGCCAGGUAAACCCUAACUUCUUUCAUUUUCCCCUUCUUUCCUUUUUAGAUUAAAACUGAAAACUCCUCUCUCUCUCUUUUGAUUUGGCUGAAUCGGAGCAACGGCGACGUCACGGCUGUCACGUUACCGCCGCCGCCGCCGACGACGAGCCACCAUGGCUCCGCCGCUGACCGCCGUCUGAAAACAGAUCGGAAGCCACCGCGGCUCCGUCGCCGUCCGUUGACCGCCGGCAACGACGAGUCACCAAGGCUGCCGCCUCCCUCUGAUCUCGACUCACACACACAAGGCAGGGUCAGCCCCCCCCUUCAAAGGUUUCAAGCCUCAAAUUCAGUCGAACACUUAGCACAUAGGAUUUGAGCAAAAAUCAAAUACUGUAAAUUUCAGUUCAUACGUUAAUACAUGUAAAUUUUUCUUUUGGAUCAUUCUCGUUUGGUGGUUCUCUGAUAUAUUGGAUAAAAGGGGAAUACCUUGAAUAGGUGUGGUGGAAGAUAUUUAUUUCUGCAGAUUUUGUUUAUCA
Long non-coding RNA from Salvia miltiorrhiza (redroot sage), 999 nucleotides. RefSeq lists it as uncharacterized. The record is from RefSeq and is a predicted model, not a curated record. The transcript has 2 exons. NCBI's taxonomy places the organism in Eukaryota, Viridiplantae, Streptophyta, Magnoliopsida, Lamiales, Lamiaceae.